This 226-nucleotide ribosomal RNA is filed under the name uncultured Streptococcus sp. RNAcentral describes it as "partial 16S ribosomal RNA". It matches the Rfam family "Bacterial small subunit ribosomal RNA", at positions 1154 to 1382 of the family's 1533-position model. The record is from RNAcentral. Lineage: Bacteria; Bacillati; Bacillota; Bacilli; Lactobacillales; Streptococcaceae.
GGUAAUAACCGGAGGAAGUGGGAUGACGUCAAAUCAUCAUGCCCCUUAUGACCUGGGCUACACACGUGCUACAAUGGUUGGUACAACGAGUUGCGAGUCGGUGACGGCGAGCUAAUCUCUUAAAGCCAAUCUCAGUUCGGAUUGUAGGCUGCAACUCGCCUACAUGAAGUCGGAAUCGCUAGUAAUCGCGGAUCAGCACGCCGCGGUGAAUACGUUCCCGGGCCUU